UGGGAAUCUUGCACAAUGGGCGAAAGCCUGAUGCAGCAACGCCGCGUGCGGGAAGACAGCCCUAGGGUUGUAAACCGCUUUCAGCAGGGAAGAAACUGACGGUACCUGCAGAAGAAGAUGCGGCCAACUACGUGCCAGCAGCCGCGGUGACACGUAGGCAUCAAGCGUUAUCCGGAUUUAUUGGGCGUAAAGAGCUCGUAGGCGGUUCGGUAAGUCGGGUGUGAAAACUCUGGGCUCAACCCAGAGAGGCCACUCGAUACUGCUGUGACUAGAGUGCGGUAGGGGAGCGGGGAAUUCCUGGUGUAGCGGUGAAAUGCGCAGAUAUCAGGAGGAACACCAGUGGCGAAGGCGCCGCUCUGGGCCGUAACUGACGCUGAGGAGCGAAAGCAUGGGUAGCAAACAGGAUUAGAUACCCUGGUAGUCCAUGCCGUAAACGUUGGGCACUAGGUGUGGGUCUCAACCAACGAGAUCCGCGCCGUCGCUAACGCAUUAAGUGCCCGCCUGGGAGUACGGUCGCAAGACUAAACU
Molecule: ribosomal RNA, 528 nt
Filed under: uncultured bacterium
Lineage: Bacteria
Description: bacterial SSU rRNA
Rfam family: Bacterial small subunit ribosomal RNA
Source: RNAcentral